Molecule: ribosomal RNA, 505 nt
Filed under: uncultured bacterium
Lineage: Bacteria
Description: partial 16S ribosomal RNA
Rfam family: Bacterial small subunit ribosomal RNA
Source: RNAcentral
GACGAACGCUGGCGGCGUGCCUAAUACAUGCAAGUAGAACGCACAGUUUAUACCGUAGCUUGCUACACCAUAGACUGUGAGUUGCGAACGGGUGAGUAACGCGUAGGUAACCUGCCUGGUAGCGGGGGAUAACUAUUGGAAACGAUAGCUAAUACCGCAUAAUAUUAAUUAUUGCAUGAUAAUUAAUUGAAAGGUGCAAUUGCACCACUACCAGAUGGACCUGCGUUGUAUUAGCUAGUAGGUGAGGUAACGGCUCACCUAGGCGACGAGACAUAGCCGACCUGGGAGGGUGAUCGGCCACAAUGGGACUGAGACACGGCCCAGACUCCUACGGGAGGCAGCAGUAGGGAAUCUUCGGCAAUGGACGAAAGUCUGACCGAGCAACGCCGCGUGAGUGAAGAAGGUUUUCGGAUCGUAAAGCUCUGUUGUAAGAGAAGAACGGGUGUGAGAGUGGAAAGUUCACACUGUGACGGUAUCUUACCAGAAAGGGACGGCUAACUACGUG